UACAGAGGUCCCAAGCGUUGUUCGGAUUCACUGGGCGUAAAGGGUGCGUAGGUGGUGAGGUAAGUCGGAUGUGAAAGCUCGGAGCUCAACUCCGAAAUGGCAUUGGAAACUACCUUGCUCGAGGGUUGGAGGGGGGACUGGAAUACUUGGUGUAGCAGUGAAAUGCGUAGAUAUCAAGUGGAACACCAGUGGCGAAGGCGAGUCCCUGGACAAGCUCCUGACACUGAGGCAACGAAAGCUAGGGGAGCAAACAGG
This 255-nucleotide ribosomal RNA is filed under the name uncultured bacterium. RNAcentral's name for it is "partial 16S ribosomal RNA". It matches the Rfam family "Bacterial small subunit ribosomal RNA", at positions 524 to 776 of the family's 1533-position model. The record is from RNAcentral.